AUGUSUCAUCAGCAGAAAAAAGAUGUUACUCCAUCUCCUUCAGUCUACAGGCUGACCUCUAAAGAUGAYGAAAGUUUGGAAAUGUGCCUUAUCACAGAUUACUCCCCUGAAAGGCUUGCACCUAAUAUGAAUGCAGGGAAGACAGAUGCUAUUGUGGAGGUGGUAACAUCUGAGAACAAACAGGAAGCAAGCUACUUGUCAACCUACUGGGCCAAGAAAAAUGAAAUGCAGUGCAGCACAAAGCACAAGGGAUUUGGAGAGCUGGAAGGCAAGGAUCCUGAAAGUGGUGCCAGCACUGUCUGUGUAACAGAAGUGUCUCAACACUUCAGGACAGGUACGAACAAAGCAUUUUAAGUGUAAAGCUUGGCCUGCUUAGACCUCAGCCUUCCUAUUUUGGCUAAUGUUCUCUUGCCCUSCCUGUUUGCAGAAUUCCUGUUGCAGCAAAAGGAGCAGACUGAAUUUCCAAAUGAGUAGCACAGGAUUUAAACAUCAAGYCUGGAAGUCAUUUGGUUUAAUGUGGACUUCCAGAUCUGAGCUGGCCAUUUUAUGUGACCACUGUAGUCAAUGGACAUAUAUUCUAGCUAGGUCUUACCAAAUAACCAUUCCCUACCCUAUAAGCUUCUGUAAAAUGAUUUCAGCUACAGAUUUAAGRCAGCUUUAGUGAAUGUCUGUAUUUCAGACUUCAAAGGAGCUGUUUUUAUUUUCGGAUGCACAAACACCUAAUGAACCAAAAGAUAAGCAGGUGGUUUCUACUGCAUGUGCUCAGAAGCAAUGUUGCAAUAAAGACAAGGUGUAUCUGAGCA
Molecule: long non-coding RNA, 803 nt
Filed under: Dromaius novaehollandiae (emu)
Lineage: Eukaryota; Metazoa; Chordata; Aves; Casuariiformes; Dromaiidae
Description: lncRNA (ENSDNVG00000012051.1)
Source: RNAcentral